AUCUACUGUGGCUCUCAUAACUCCUGCUUUCAUUCUGAAGAACUCUAAUUCAGUAGUAAGUAGAAGUAUCAGCCCAAGGUAGUUACUGGAAUAUCAUUUAAAAUAAUUUGGUUGGUAGAAGUAACUUUCUGUUGAAAUAUCUUAUUGUUUAUGUAACAGCAGAUAUAAUUGGAAUUUCAACAAUUACCAUAUCUGCUUUCAUGCCAAGACUGGUUAAAUACAGGAGAAAAAAAUUUUUUUUUGGUACUUAUCUGUUGAAACUCAGAUAUUUCUAUAACAUUUCAACCCCUAUUAAAUUGCUUUGAAAACAACACCAAAAAAAAAAGGGGGGGGAAAAAAAGAGGAAAAAGACCCACCCAUCAUCAAAAUUUCAAACUCUGGGUGCUUUCCAGCAAACUGUUCUUGAAUGAAAACAUUACUCUGUCUUCAGUUAAACAUUGGCUCUAACGUAGACAAAUUAGCACAUUCAGUUACACUGCAAAAAUCUUUAACUGUAGGAGAGGGGGAAAAACAAAGAAAAGAAUGAUCAUAAUCAUUAGCAUUUAUAUAGCAGCUCGGUAGGAAUAUGUGAUUGUUAAAGCACAAAAUGCAGCAGCUGGUACUUGAGGAGGAAACAAAACUGUAAAGGCUAAUGUAGCUCAUCGAGUGGCACUUUCCAUUGUUGCAGCCAGAGGUGUCCUGUUGGUCUGCGGAUGCCAGAAAUUUCCUAGUGUAUCCACAAACAAGCUGGGUGUGUUAGAUGCAGGAAUGCAACAGACUUUCAAAGAUUUUAAGGGACUGAAGCUGAAGUGUUCAACCUGUUGAGCAGGAGAUGAACCUCAGACAGAAUAUUGUUUUUUAUACAGGGGCAAUGGGGGUGAAAAUGCUUGUAAGAUGGAGAAAGAUGAUGGAGAAAGAUAGAAGAACUCUGUUCUGUGUCUCACGCUCCAAGGGGAUUGCCCUUUCUUUUGAAUUGCUAGCGGGGAAGCAUUCAAGCAUUCACUCAAUGUAAAUGGAGAAAAAUGGAGAAGUAAAGAGUUUCGGGAAAGACUGGAGCAUGUCUUCAAAAAUGACCUGGUACCAGGCAGUUGUUCACAUCUACUUUUGUUUGCUGCGCUGGGCAUCCGUGGGCUAUGUGAGCACAAACUGGACAAACCAUCCAUACCGUUCUUCAUAUUGCAUUGGGCUCAAAUAUAUUAUCUUACAAAAUAUCCUUAAUGCUAAUGUUGCAGCAGUCACAAAGCAGCAAAUUGUUGGAAAGGACUGGCAAGAAGAAAACCAUGGAUGGCUGUAUCUGGCAGAGGGGGGAGAAGGCAUUUUGGUUGCCCAAAAACGCUGCCGUUGGCUCUGUUUGUCCUCCCCUUCCUUUCCCUUCAGUUUGAAGAACAUUGCACUCACAUCAACCUCAUCCCAUCUUGUAAAGAUAAUGGUGAACAAAAAUCUACUGGAAGAUCUUUUGAAGGGGCUUAUUCGACCUCAUGACUACUGCUUAAAUCAUUUCUGAAUUCAAGAUUCUGGUGCACAAGCCCCUGUAUGCAGAAGUAGAAGAGAGUCCCAUUCCCAAAUGCCUUUCAGCCAGAGGCUGGCAUUUUCCAGUUGUGCAGAAAGGAAACCUGCAGUUAUUUUUGUCUCUGGAAGCCCAAGGUUAUAUUGACAGAGGCUGUUUAGAGGUAAAACCACCCAGCGAGGGAAAUGCAGUGAGCCCCAGAUUUCCAGGUGACUGAUGAAUUUUUUCCCCAUCUGUGGUCAUCUGUAAAUGGAACAGCUCACGGUCCUUGCUGCGUUUAUCUUCUCAACACCUCUAUAACACAGAAGGUAUCGCCCCCGUUUGGAGUAAGUAAUGUGAGCGGUGGCAGGGUGUGCCCUUGAACUAAGACUUCCUAUUGUCUUGCAAAGACUAUCCUGAUAGACUGCUGCUGAAAUACCUGUAUGCUCUUAGGACCUGACCCUGCGUGUUUUCCUCAUGUGAACAUUAUUUAAUUGGAAACAGUACUGUAAAUAGCAACAGUUCAUGUGAUUACAUGAGAUUACAUCUUGUGAUAUUGGGAGGGAAAACAGCAUCCUGCUGGUGGAAACAA
Long non-coding RNA from Cygnus olor (mute swan), 2057 nucleotides. RefSeq lists it as uncharacterized. The transcript is spliced from 9 exons. The record is from RefSeq and is a predicted model, not a curated record. NCBI's taxonomy places the organism in Eukaryota, Metazoa, Chordata, Aves, Anseriformes, Anatidae.